CUACGGGUUGCUGCAGUAGGGAAUCUUAGACAAUGGGGGAAACCCUGAUCUAGCCAUGCCGCGUGAGUGAUGAAGGCCUUAGGGUUGUAAAGCUCUUUCGCUGGGGAAGAUAAUGACGGUACCCAGUAAAGAAACCCCGGCUAACUCCGUGCCAGCAGCCGCGGUAAUACGGAGGGGGUUAGCGUUGUUCGGAAUUACUGGGCGUAAAGCGCGCGUAGGCGGGCUAUUAAGUCAGGGGUGAAAUCCCGGGGCUCAACCCCGGAACUGCCUUUGAUACUGGUAGUCUUGAGUUCGAGAGAGGUGAGUGGAAUUCCGAGUGUAGAGGUGAAAUUCGUAGAUAUUCGGAGGAACAUCAGUGGCGAAGGCGACUCACUGGCUCGAUACUGACGAUGAGGUGCGAAAGUGUGGGGAGCAAACAGGAUUAGAUACCCCAGUAGUC
Molecule: ribosomal RNA, 439 nt
Filed under: uncultured bacterium
Lineage: Bacteria
Description: partial 16S ribosomal RNA
Rfam family: Bacterial small subunit ribosomal RNA
Source: RNAcentral